Molecule: ribosomal RNA, 226 nt
Filed under: uncultured bacterium
Lineage: Bacteria
Description: partial 16S ribosomal RNA
Rfam family: Bacterial small subunit ribosomal RNA
Source: RNAcentral
UACGUAGGGCGCAAGCGUUGUCCGGAAUUAUUGGGCGUAAAGAGCUCGUAGGCGGUUUGUCGCGUCUGCUGUGAAAACCUGAGGCUCAACCUCGGGCUUGCAGUGGGUACGGGCAGACUAGAGUGCGGUAGGGGUGACUGGAAUUCCUGGUGUAGCGGUGGAAUGCGCAGAUAUCAGGAGGAACACCCGGUGGGCGAAGGCGGGGUCUCUGGGCCGAUACUGACGC